RNAcentral lists this ribosomal RNA (502 nucleotides) under uncultured bacterium. RNAcentral describes it as "partial 16S ribosomal RNA". It matches the Rfam family "Bacterial small subunit ribosomal RNA", at positions 28 to 507 of the family's 1533-position model. The record is from RNAcentral.
GACGAACGCUGGCGGCGUGCCUAAUACAUGCAAGUCGAACGAACCGCGACUAAGUGCUUGCACUAAGUCAAGGUGAGUGGCGAACGGGUGAGUAACACGUGGGUAACCUACCUCAUAGUGGGGGAUAACAGUCGGAAACGACUGCUAAUACCGCAUAGGACAUAGGAUCACAUGAUCCAGUGAGGAAAGGUGGCGCAAGCUAUCGCUAAGAGAUGGACCCGCGGUGCAUUAGCUAGUUGGUAGGGUAAAGGCCUACCAAGGCGAUGACGCAUAGCCGACCUGAGAGGGUGAUCGGCCACAUUGGGACUGAGACACGGCCCAAACUCCUACGGGAGGCAGCAGUAGGGAAUCUUCCGCAAAGGACGCAAGUCUGACGGAGCAACGCCGCGUGAGUGAAGAAGGUCUUCGGAUCGUAAAGCUCUGUUGUUAGAGAAGAACAGCGCAUAGAGUAACUGCUAUGCGUGUGACGGUAUCUAACCAGAAAGCCACGGCUAACUACGUG